GACGAACGCUGGCGGCGUGCCUAAUACAUGCAAGUCGAACGGUCUUUUCUAUGGAAGCUUGCUUCCACUGAGAAGAUAGUGGCGAACGGGUGAGUAACACGUGGGUAACCUGCCCAUAAGAGGGGGAUAACAUCCGGAAACGGGUGCUAAUACCGCAUAGUUUUCUUGAUCGCAUGAUCGAGAAAGGAAAGACGGCCUUUGUGCUGUCGCUUAUGGAUGGACCCGCGGCGUAUUAGUUAGUUGGUGAGGUAACGGCACACCAAGACGAUGAAACGUAGCCGACCUGAGAGGGUGAUCGGCCACAUUGGGACUGAGACACGGCCCAAACUCCUACGGGAGGCAGCAGUAGGGAAUCUUCCGCAAUGGACGAAAGUCUGACGGAGCAACGCCGCGUGAGUGAAGAAGGUUUUCGGAUCGUAAAACUCUGUUGUCAGAGAAGAACAAGUCGGAGAGUAACUGCUCCGGCCUUGACGGUAUCUGACCAGAAAGCCACGGCUAACUACGUGCCAGCCGCCGCGGUAA
This 522-nucleotide ribosomal RNA is filed under the name uncultured bacterium. RNAcentral's name for it is "partial 16S ribosomal RNA". It matches the Rfam family "Bacterial small subunit ribosomal RNA", at positions 28 to 523 of the family's 1533-position model. The record is from RNAcentral.